Molecule: non-coding RNA, 564 nt
Organism: Pantherophis guttatus
Lineage: Eukaryota; Metazoa; Chordata; Lepidosauria; Squamata; Colubridae
Source: RefSeq, a predicted model, not a curated record
AGCCUCUCUCUGUCCCUCCCUUGCUCGCUGGCUCCCUCCAGGAUCCAAUUACAGUGGAUAAAGGAGACACUAAAGGAACAAUGCACACUGGUGCCAAAAUGAACCAAAAUGGAUCUGCUUCUUCGGGUAGAUUGUUCUACAGCUGGAGGCCACCACUGAAUAGGCUCUUUUCUCUUACAGCACAGCCUCCUUCACUUGAAAAGCACGCGUUGAGUAAACCCUGAUCUUGAGCUGUGAGAAAGAGCCUUAAUGGUUAACUCAGAAAUACACUAGGAGCCCACGAGGGUGACAAAGCAGGGUGCUUUUAUCGCCCACUCAGAGUUAGCAAUCUUACAGCCAUGCCCUGAACUGUUGCUGGACUGUUUCAAUGACAACCCCUUAUUCACUACACUGAAUUCCUGUCUCAGUCCUCAAGUGCAAACUAAAAUAUAGGUUUGCAUUGUGUUGUCUAUUUGAGGAUUGCUUCCCACACCCCACCCCACUCCUGCCUUAAAUUAAACAAUAGCUCUGGACUGAAAAGAAAAAGCUUUCAUGCCUAAUAAAAAGCAAAAUGGAAAAAAAAAG